GACGAACGCUGGCGGCGUGCCUAAUACAUGCAAGUCGAACGCAUUUUCUUUCACCGUAGCUUGCUACACCGAAAGAAAAUGAGUGGCGAACGGGUGAGUAACACGUGGGUAACCUGCCCAUCAGCGGGGGAUAACACUUGGAAACAGGUGCUAAUACCGCAUAAUUCCAUUUACCGCAUGGUAGAUGGGUGAAAGGCGCUUUUGCGUCACUGAUGGAUGGACCCGCGGUGCAUUAGCUAGUUGGUGGGGUAACGGCCUACCAAGGCUGCGAUGCAUAGCCGACCUGAGAGGGUGAUCGGCCACACUGGGACUGAGACACGGCCCAGACUCCUACGGGAGGCAGCAGUAGGGAAUCUUCGGCAAUGGACGCAAGUCUGACCGAGCAACGCCGCGUGAGUGAAGAAGGUUUUCGGAUCGUAAAACUCUGUUGUUAGAGAAGAACAAGGAUGAGAGUGGAAAGUUCAUCCCUUGUCGGUAUCUAACCAGAAAGCCACGGCUAACUACGUG
RNAcentral lists this ribosomal RNA (507 nucleotides) under uncultured bacterium. RNAcentral describes it as "partial 16S ribosomal RNA". It matches the Rfam family "Bacterial small subunit ribosomal RNA", at positions 28 to 507 of the family's 1533-position model. The record is from RNAcentral.